Molecule: long non-coding RNA, 621 nt
Filed under: Brassica napus (rape)
Lineage: Eukaryota; Viridiplantae; Streptophyta; Magnoliopsida; Brassicales; Brassicaceae
Description: long non-coding RNA (BNAP_LNC001480)
Source: RNAcentral
CCACAUAUAUCCCCCUUUUUUCCAUUGUGUAAACCUCCGAUGAAUUUUAUGUUGAGAAAUACAAAACAAAAAAACAUUUGUAGACCCAUAAUACACAUCUCGUCCAAACCAAUUAAUUAGAGAAGAAAACUGAAAACAAGUUUCAUUAGCCCCAUGCUUUACACACAAAUACAACCCACAGAAAACUAAAUCCAAAUCUCCAACUCCACCAGCCCCCACGGCCCUCAAGGAGUUUAUAAUCUCACCAAAACCAUUAAUAGGAGAAACCUUAUAUUCAUAAUAACGAAAAACAUUCCAAAAGAUGAAGAAACUAUCGUCAAGAACCAGCAGUUUUCUACCAUCAAUGUAACUUAUAAAACUUAACCGAAGAGAUAAACAGACCACCACACUGAGGCACCUGUUAUUUCCAACUCGAUACGUAAUAUCUGUUUGGUCGUAACAUACCCAGAAAUUAAAAAAGUUGGAAUUGAUUCAUAUAAAGAAGGGAAGGUCGACAAAAAAAAAAGGAAGGAUGCUAAUUCUAUUUUUAUUUACAAAACAAACGAUUGACUUGUUCAAUAUCUUCAUCCUAAUUUUAGUCAUUUCUUUGGUUUUGUUGCAUAAUGCAAAACUAGCUUAUGC